GGGGCGGAGCGACACGGACGUCGCUCCGAGGCUCGCCGCGACACGACGUCGCGUCGAGCCGGACCC
Regulatory RNA element from Halothiobacillus sp., 66 nucleotides. NCBI's taxonomy places the organism in Bacteria, Pseudomonadati, Pseudomonadota, Gammaproteobacteria, Chromatiales, Halothiobacillaceae. The record is from Rfam.